UGGGAACGUACCCUUUGGUUCGGAACAACCCAGGGAAACUUGGGCUAAUACCGGAUAAGUCCGUAAGGAGAAAGAUUUAUCGCCAAAGGAUCGGCCCGCGUCUGAUUAGCUAGUUGGUAGGGUAAUGGCCUACCAAGGCGACGAUCAGUAGCUGGUCUGAGAGGAUGAUCAGCCACAUUGGGACUGAGACACGGCCCAGACUCCUACGGGAGCAG
This 215-nucleotide ribosomal RNA is filed under the name uncultured bacterium. RNAcentral describes it as "partial 16S ribosomal RNA". It matches the Rfam family "Bacterial small subunit ribosomal RNA", at positions 118 to 347 of the family's 1533-position model. The record is from RNAcentral.